Molecule: long non-coding RNA, 187 nt
Organism: Dreissena polymorpha
Lineage: Eukaryota; Metazoa; Mollusca; Bivalvia; Myida; Dreissenidae
Exons: 3
Source: RefSeq, a predicted model, not a curated record
UGUCGUGGAGAAAAACAUCCAAGAUACCUUUUCAGAAAACGGGAACCACCCUUUGGUAAAGCUCGUAGCUAACGAAAAGCUGAAAUCAGCUUACAAGAAGAACAAAAGACUAGUUUCAUCGUAUACAGAAUCCGUCCUCGUCAAGGAAGCGUGUUCAGUGAUCAUGCAAGAGGUAAAGAGUAUGGUC